Cynocephalus volans (Philippine flying lemur) is the source of this 634-nucleotide long non-coding RNA. RefSeq lists it as uncharacterized. The record is from RefSeq and is a predicted model, not a curated record. NCBI's taxonomy places the organism in Eukaryota, Metazoa, Chordata, Mammalia, Dermoptera, Cynocephalidae. The transcript has 4 exons.
UUUCUCCUUUUGUGAACAGGUAUUGGUAGAGAAUGGAACAAAAGCUGGGCACCACCUUCUUAUGGAUGCCAGGGACCUGGUCCUUAAGGGAAAAGAGAAGUCACCCUUGGACUCUCAACCUGGUUUUUCUUUGCCCCGAAAGAGAAGACAAUGGAGGAAAAGUUCUUUAUGGUGAUCCUUGCCUGGAAGUCUCCAUAGGAAGCUAAUCACUGGCCCCGUAUUACUCAGCCUAUCCUUAAAUGGCCUUGCCAUGUGCAUUGUCACCUGUGCUGUCCAGAUGGGCAUAUGCAGCAUGCUGUGAUCACAGCCCACCAGCAUGGCAGGGAUUUGUAUCGUGCCCGUGCCACCUCCUGGUGAGAUCUUUUACCUGUGAUCACUCCGUCUGAGUUUCCUCCAUCCCCUACUCAAGAUCUCCCUGAGAGCUGACAAGGAUAUGUAACAAGUAUUUUCUUCUAUCAUGCCUCCCAAGGCUGAAGCUACCUGGUAUCCAGGAUGAGAGUGCUGGUACCCCCAUAUGUCUGUAUUGGUUUUAAUAAUCAUCAUCAUAAUAAAUUUUUAAACAAUGGAAGUGGGUUUUGUGAUUCAUAAAGGGAUAGAAGUCAGUUAUUCUGGCCUAUCCUGUAAUGAAUCCUCA